CCUACGGGUGGCAGCAGUGGGGAAUAUUGCGCAAUGGGCGAAAGCCUGACGCAGCGACGCCGCGUGAGGGAUGAAGGUUCUCGGAUUGUAAACCUCUGUCAGAAGGGAAGAAAUUAUAUCAUGCUAAUCAGUGGUGUAUUGACGGUACCUUCAAAGGAAGCACCGGCUAACUCCGUGCCAGCAGCCGCGGUAAUACGGAGGGUGCGAGCGUUAAUCGGAUUUACUGGGCGUAAAGCGCACGUAGGCUGUAUGAUAAGUCAAGGGUGAAAUACCGCGGCUCAACCGUGGAGCUGCCUUUGAGACUGUCGAACUGGAGUAUGGAGGAGGGCGGCGGAAUGCCUGGUGUAGGAGUGAAAUGCGUAGAUAUCAGAAGGAACAUCGGUGGCGAAGGCAGCCGCCUAGCACAAAACUGACGCUGAGGUGCGAAAGCGUGGGUAGCAAACAGGAUUAGAUACCCCAGUAGUC
RNAcentral lists this ribosomal RNA (465 nucleotides) under uncultured bacterium. RNAcentral describes it as "partial 16S ribosomal RNA". It matches the Rfam family "Bacterial small subunit ribosomal RNA", at positions 338 to 795 of the family's 1533-position model. The record is from RNAcentral.